Molecule: ribosomal RNA, 799 nt
Filed under: uncultured bacterium
Lineage: Bacteria
Description: bacterial SSU rRNA
Rfam family: Bacterial small subunit ribosomal RNA
Source: RNAcentral
CAGUCGAACGAAGCACCUUACCGGAUUCUUCGGAUGAAAGUUUGGUGACUGCCUUACGGACGGGUGAGUAACGCGUGGGUAACCUGCCCUGUACCUUGGGAUAACAGCUGGAAACGGCUGCUAAUACCGCAUAAGCGCACGAGGAGACAUCUCCUAGUGUGAAAAACUCCGGUGGUACAGGAUGGGCCCGCGUCUGAUUAGCUGGUUGGCAGGGUAACGGCCUACCAAGGCAACGAUCAGUAGCCGGUCUGAGAGGAUGAACGGCCACAUUGGAACUGAGACACGGUCCAAACUCCUACGGGAGGCAGCAGUGGGGAAUAUUGCACAAUGGGGGAAACCCUGAUGCAGCAACGCCGCGUGAGUGAAGAAGUAUUUCGGUAUGUAAAGCUCUAUCAGCAGGGAAGAUAGUGACGGUACCUGACUAAGAAGCUCCGGCUAAAUACGUGCCAGCAGCCGCGGUAAUACGUAUGGAGCAAGCGUUAUCCGGAUUUACUGGGUGUAAAGGGUGCGUAGGUGGCAGUGCAAGUCAGAUGUGAAAGGCCGGGGCUCAACCCCGGAGCUGCAUUUGAAACUGCUCGGCUAGAGUACAGGCGAGGCAGGCGGAAUUCCUAGUGUAGCGGUGAAAUGCGUAGAUAUUAGGAGGAACACCAGUGGCGAAGGCGGCCUGCUGGACUGUUACUGACACUGAGGCACGAAAGCGUGGGGAGCAAACAGGAUUAGAUACCCUGGUAGUCCACGCCGUANACGAUGAAUACUAGGUGUCGGGGCCGNAUAGGCUCCGGUGCCGCCGCUAACGCAG